RNAcentral lists this ribosomal RNA (468 nucleotides) under uncultured bacterium. RNAcentral's name for it is "partial 16S ribosomal RNA". It matches the Rfam family "Bacterial small subunit ribosomal RNA", at positions 28 to 507 of the family's 1533-position model. The record is from RNAcentral.
GACGAACGCUGGCGGCGUGCUUAACACAUGCAAGUCGAACGGAAAGGCCCUGCUUUUGUGGGGUGCUCGAGUGGCGAACGGGUGAGUAACACGUGAGUAACCUGCCCUUGACUUUGGGAUAACUUCAGGAAACUGGGGCUAAUACCGGAUAGGAGCUCCUGCUGCAUGGUGGGGGUUGGACAGUUUCGGCGGUUGGGGAUGGACUCGCGGCUGAUCAGCUUGUUGGUGGGGUAGUGGCUUACCAAGGCUUUGACGGGUAGCCGGCCUGAGAGGGUGACCGGCCACAUUGGGACUGAGAUACGGCCCAGACUCCUACGGGAGGCAGCAGUGGGGAAUAUUGCACAAUGGGCGGAAGCCUGAUGCAGCAACGCCGCGUGCGGGAUGACGGCCUUCGGGUUGUAAACCGCUUUCGCCUGUGACGAAGCGUGAGUGACGGUAAUGGGUAAAGAAGCACCGGCUAACUACGUG